Molecule: ribosomal RNA, 294 nt
Filed under: uncultured bacterium
Lineage: Bacteria
Description: partial 16S ribosomal RNA
Rfam family: Bacterial small subunit ribosomal RNA
Source: RNAcentral
AACUUCCUACGGGGCGCAGCAGUGAGGAAUAUUGGUCAAUGGUCGGGAGACUGAACCAGCCACGCCGCGUGAGGGAGGAAGGUACGGAGUAUUGUAAACCUCUUUUGUCGGGGAACAAAGACUGGGACGCGUCCCCGGAUGAGUGUACCUGAAGAAAAAGCAUCGGCUAACUCCGUGCCAGCAGCCGCGGUAAUACGGAGGAUGCAAGCGUUAUCCGGAUUUAUUGGGUUUAAAGGGUGCGCAGGCGGUCUGUUAAGUCAGCGGUCAAAGCCCGGGGCUCAACCCCGGCCCGCC